GUAGGUGACGAGCGUUAUCCGGAUUCAUUGGGCGUAAAGAGGGCGUAGGCGGCCUUUUAAGUCGGAUGUAAAAUCUCCUGGCUUAACCAGGAGGGACCAUUCGAUACUGCUGGGCUAGAAGGCAGCAGAGGGAAGUGGAAUUCCCGGUGUAGUGGUGAAAUGCGUAGAUAUCGGGAGGAACACCAGUGGCGAAGGCGGCUUUCCAGGCUGUUAUUGACGCUGAGGCCCGAAAGCGUGGGGAGCAAACAGGAUUAGAUACCCUGGUAGUCCACGCUGUAAACUAUGGACACUAGGUAUGGGGAGUAUCGACCCUCUCCGUGCCGAAGUAAACGCAUUAAGUGUCCCGCCUGGGGAGUACGGUCGCAAGGCUA
This 371-nucleotide ribosomal RNA is filed under the name uncultured bacterium. RNAcentral describes it as "bacterial SSU rRNA". It matches the Rfam family "Bacterial small subunit ribosomal RNA", at positions 527 to 896 of the family's 1533-position model. The record is from RNAcentral.